GGCAUGGUGGCUCAGUGGCUAGAGCGCCCGCCUUCAUGAACGGGAGGUCGUGGGUUCAGACCCCAGCCGAGUUA
This 74-nucleotide transfer RNA is filed under the name Strongylocentrotus purpuratus (purple sea urchin). It matches the Rfam family "tRNA". Rfam says of the family: Transfer RNA (tRNA) molecules are approximately 80 nucleotides in length. Their secondary structure includes four short double-helical elements and three loops (D, anti-codon, and T loops). Further hydrogen bonds mediate the characteristic L-shaped molecular structure. tRNAs have two regions of fundamental functional importance: the anti-codon, which is responsible for specific mRNA codon recognition, and the 3' end, to which the tRNAs corresponding amino acid is attached (by aminoacyl-tRNA synthetases). tRNAs cope with the degeneracy of the genetic code in two manners: having more than one tRNA (with a specific anti-codon) for a particular amino acid; and 'wobble' base-pairing, i.e. permitting non-standard base-pairing at the 3rd anti-codon position. The record is from Rfam by way of RNAcentral. Lineage: Eukaryota; Metazoa; Echinodermata; Echinoidea; Camarodonta; Strongylocentrotidae.